UACAGAGGGGGCAAGCGUUGUUCGGAAUUACUGGGCGUAAAGGGCGCGUAGGCGGCCUGUUAAGUCGAACGUGAAAUCCCCGGGCUCAACCCGGGAACUGCGUCCGAAACUGGCAGGCUCGAAUUCGGGAGAGGGAUGCGGAAUUCCAGGUGUAGCGGUGAAAUGCGUAGAUAUCUGGAGGAACAUCGGUGGCGAAGGCAGCUCGCUGGGACGGUACUGACGCUAAGGCGCGAAAGCGUGGGGAGCGAACAGG
This 253-nucleotide ribosomal RNA is filed under the name uncultured bacterium. Its description in RNAcentral is "partial 16S ribosomal RNA". It matches the Rfam family "Bacterial small subunit ribosomal RNA", at positions 524 to 776 of the family's 1533-position model. The record is from RNAcentral.